Molecule: long non-coding RNA, 488 nt
Filed under: Mytilus galloprovincialis (Mediterranean mussel)
Lineage: Eukaryota; Metazoa; Mollusca; Bivalvia; Mytilida; Mytilidae
Source: RNAcentral
UUAUUAUCCAACGCCAUCUUAGUUUUGAACGUUGUUUUUCAAUUUAGACUUGUUUAUAUUUUCUCGUUUAGGCUAAUUAUAUUUUCCUUCUGGUUUAUAUGAUCCGUUUACCCUAUUUCAACUCUUUAAAAUUCAACAAUCCAUCAUAAAUUGAUGUAAAUUAUAUGGCCUUCCAAAUACCGUUUCGAUCUCUAUCUUCACUGAAGAGACAUUAAUUGUCGAAAUCCGGAUAUGGUGUACAAAUUUUUAGCCCCUCAAGUUUGCGGAAUACCAUCUUCUCCGCAAGUUUAUUGUUUUCUGUUUGGCAUUAAUAGUAAUUAAGAUCCAUAUUGCAUCUCGUGAUAAUUUAUGUGGCAAUCGUCAAUGGCAGUCAGCAGGGUUUAAGAACAUCAGUUUUUCGACCUGAAAAAGUCAAAUGUGUUUAAUUUGUUAAAAUAUACUUAUUACUUUUUUAGUCUUUUGGAAAAUGUUGUUUGUGCUGUAUUUAG